CACUGCCCGUCAAGCCAUGGAAGCCUGGGGGACCUGAAGUCGUCCACGCCAACCGCAAGGAGGCAGACGCCCACGGUAUGACCGAUGAUUGGGGUG
This 96-nucleotide ribosomal RNA is filed under the name uncultured bacterium. RNAcentral's name for it is "partial 16S ribosomal RNA". The record is from RNAcentral.